GAGUUUGAUCCUGGCUCAGAUUGAACGCUGGCGGCAUGCCUUACACAUGCAAGUCGAACGGCAGCAUGAUCUAGCUUGCUAGAUUGAUGGCGAGUGGCGAACGGGUGAGUAAUACAUCGGAACGUGCCCUGUAGUGGGGGAUAACUAGUCGAAAGAUUAGCUAAUACCGCAUACGACCUGAGGGUGAAAGUGGGGGACCGCAAGGCCUCAUGCUAUAGGAGCGGCCGAUGUCUGAUUAGCUAGUUGGUGGGGUAAAGGCCCACCAAGGCGACGAUCAGUAGCUGGUCUGAGAGGACGAUCAGCCACACUGGGACUGAGACACGGCCCAGACUCCUACGGGAGGCAGCAGUGGGGAAUUUUGGACAAUGGGCGAAAGCCUGAUCCAGCAAUGCCGCGUGUGUGAAGAAGGCCUCGGUGUAAG
RNAcentral lists this ribosomal RNA (421 nucleotides) under uncultured microorganism. Its description in RNAcentral is "bacterial SSU rRNA". It matches the Rfam family "Bacterial small subunit ribosomal RNA", at positions 9 to 429 of the family's 1533-position model. The record is from RNAcentral.